Small nucleolar RNA from Zalophus californianus (California sea lion), 84 nucleotides. NCBI's taxonomy places the organism in Eukaryota, Metazoa, Chordata, Mammalia, Carnivora, Otariidae. The record is from Ensembl.
GUGUUCAAUGAUGAUUCUGAUGCGUAUGCCUGAUAUCCUUUUGGAUAAUGAAGGCAUCUUCAGUCACUACCUCUUCUGAGACAC